UACAGAGGGUGCGAGCGUUAAUCGGAAUUACUGGGCGUAAAGCGCGCGUAGGCGGCUAUGUAAGUCGGAUGUGAAAUCCCCGGGCUUAACCUGGGAACUGCAUUCGAGACUGCAUGACUAGAGUAUGGGAGAGGGCAGUGGAAUUUCAGGUGUAGCGGUGAAAUGCGUAGAUAUCUGAAGGAACAUCAGUGGCGAAAGCGACUGCCUGGCCCAAUACUGACGCUCAUGUGCGAAAGCGUGGGGAGCAAACAGG
This 253-nucleotide ribosomal RNA is filed under the name uncultured bacterium. Its description in RNAcentral is "partial 16S ribosomal RNA". It matches the Rfam family "Bacterial small subunit ribosomal RNA", at positions 524 to 776 of the family's 1533-position model. The record is from RNAcentral.